Molecule: transfer RNA, 54 nt
Filed under: Mesabolivar sp. ITV1036I2
Lineage: Eukaryota; Metazoa; Arthropoda; Arachnida; Araneae; Pholcidae
Description: tRNA-Ala
Source: RNAcentral
AGGAGGUGAGGUGUAAUAUGGCUGACUUGCAAUUAGUUUAUGUGUGAUGUUUGA